UCUAUGGGGUGCCGUUCGUGUCAAAACUACUUUUUUUAGAAAUGUUUAAAAUUUAUGCUCAAUUGCACGAGAAUCUAUGAUUAAAGUAGUUGUUUAGCACUUACUGGAUGCAGUGUUUAGCAGUGGAUACAGUGUUUAGCAGUGGAUGCAGUGUUUAGCUGUGGAUGCAGUGUUUAGCAGUAGAUGCAGUGUUAAGCAAUGGAGGCAGUGUUUAGCAGUGGAUGCAGUGUUCAGCAAUUGAGCAUCCUUUACAGAGUCAGUUUAGUUUACAUUAGGGUGUGGCAUCCUGUAUAUAAAUGCAGUGGAUGCAGUGUUUAGCAAUGGAACAUCCUUUACAGAGCCAGUUUAGUUUACAUUAGGGUGUGGCAUCCUGUAUAUGUGCCAUGUCCAUACACAUGUCACAUUCAAUGUAAGACAUGGCCAAACUACCCACAGAAGACAUUGCUAAGGCAGUUUCAGGAGCUGUGUCUUCAGUUUUAUCUAAAAUGGAGGCUGAUAAGAAUAGCGAUGAUGAAGACUUUCAGGCCGAAUGGAAGAGAUUGAAACCCAGGAUAAAGGAGGUUCAAAUUGAAAGUAGUCGGAAAGGGCACGGUGGCCUUGGAGGGACACAGAAAGGAUCACGAGACCCAUUGCAAGUCAAGAGAAGAAAGCUUAUUUUAAAAGAAGGAAGUUUGUAAUUUUAUUUUAGUUAUCAUUAUACUAAGGAUGGAGUUAAUUUCUGACAACAGUAGUAAUGAUGAUUUUGUGGUGAAGAAGGUACAUAUAAGAAAUGAUGAAGUGGAACAGCAGGACCUAGUUUUCGAUAGUCAAAAGACAAUAAUGAUUAUAUUGCCCUAUGAAUGCUGCAUUAAUUUUUUAUAGCAGAAAAUUAUGUUAAUCAAUUGAUGUUUGUUAUUUUACCACUAUUAUAUAUUCCUUUUUUCAUAGAGCAAAACCCACUCUGCCAUCAAUUUUUAUUGGCAAGAAUGCAGAUGUUCAAAGUGACAAAGAGGCUUCUUAAGUAUAAUCACGACUGUUUGCCUGCCAAAAUCUUAUGGACAGUCAACAGUAAUAAAUAUACCAAUGCCUUAUGUUGAAUUAGAGUAGAAUGUUUUGAUUGGAAAGAUAAAGUUAGACUCUAGUAAGUCAGAAUAGGAGAUAUUUAGUGAAGUCUGAUCCGUUUUUUGUGUAUCAAUGAAUCUCAAUCAGAACUUUCCUUUUCACGUUUUGCAGCCUAUGGGUGUACCAAAAAUAAUAAAGUCCCUAUUUACAUAUUCGCAAAGGAAUCACUUCUUAAAGUUAAAGUUAUCUCUGAGUAGUGAAGAGGGUUCUCAAAAUGAGUUGAUACAUUUAACUACUGAAAUGACUAUGCUAUUGAAUGCCACUGUGCCCACAUACAAUGAUUAGAGACUUGGCAGCUAUUUUUAUUGAUAAUAUUGCCAAUGAUUGUAUGUGGGAAUCCAUAGAUUGUCUGAAUAUGACAAUAUUAUUAAUGCCAAUGAUUGGGAAAGUAGCCCUACACCACAUCUGGCUUCAUCACUGACUCCUCUCCCAUCUAGAAUAAACAAACUUCCAUUUUAUAGUGCAAGAGAUGACUCUCCGAGGAUAAUUGUCAAAAGAAAGUAUAUUUUACAAGACACCCUUUACAAAUUACGAAAUGGUUUGGAUGUCAGUGGACAUAUGGUAUUACGAGUUGUAUUUGUUGGGGAAGCAGCUGUGGAUGAAAGGGGCCAUUACGGGACUAUUUCUACUUAUGAAGUCGCAGUAUAUUUUGUGGUUCACCACAUAACAAAGUACCACAGCACAAUGUUUUAGAGCUACAGAAGAAAACUUUUUACUAUAUUGGAGUUUUGUUUGGACUUUCACUGAUUCGUGGUGGGCCAGCAACACACUCUGCUGUAGCUGAUUACAUUGUUUAUGGAGCCUCAAAUGUGAAGGCUGGACCACUUGAUAUGGUUGAUUUUGAAUUAAGGGAAAAGAUUCAAAAGAUUCAGAUUGCAAAAUCUCUAAGCCAGUUAAAGCAGCUGCUUGAUUCAGAUGCCUAUGGUUACGAUAUUAGCAAUGUCAGCUUAAAAAUUUAAACAGCUCAAAUUUUAACAAUUU
RNAcentral lists this long non-coding RNA (2082 nucleotides) under Amphimedon queenslandica. Its description in RNAcentral is "uncharacterized LOC109580525". The record is from RNAcentral. Lineage: Eukaryota; Metazoa; Porifera; Demospongiae; Haplosclerida; Niphatidae.